CUGGCCCUGAAUCAAGGCCGUCGGUUUGCUGUAGCCGUUGGUUUCAAGCAGGAGCCCAGAGGAAACGUCUCCCUGUCUGUUGGUGCUCCCAUCCCGUGGAACAGCCAAUUCGUGAGGGAGCAACAAAG
This is a small nucleolar RNA of Corvus moneduloides (New Caledonian crow), 128 nucleotides long. The record is from Ensembl. Lineage: Eukaryota; Metazoa; Chordata; Aves; Passeriformes; Corvidae.